GGUUUACUAUUAUUUAUUUUCUUUUCAUGUAGUUCUCUACUACAUUAUUUUUCUGACGUGCCAUUCUAAUUGUGAAAUGAAAUUCAUCCGCUUUCAGAUUUUUCAUCUAAUUUAUGUUUCUGUAUCUUUUCCCGUGUAAAUUUAGAACUGUGCAAUGUAUUAUUUAAUCAAACUAGGCUAUACAAAUUGGACCGAUCCAUUUAGAAUAGGUUUGACUCCAAGUAAUAUACUUUAGAAACCUAGUCCAGUCCAGUCCAUUGCUUUCUGGCCCAACUGUGUGAUUUUAUAAUGCUAGUUGGUAUGUGAAUUUCUAGCCACUGCCUUAACAUUUAUUUGCCUCCAAAUUUUGAUUGAUUCCAUGUCUUAGUAAUGGGAGAGAUCGUAAGAACUAUUUUUUCGAGUUAAUCAAAUAGAGUUGUCUUGCAUUUUAAUAAUUCUUUAUUUAUCCAUCAUUUGUUGCAAGUCGCGAUAAAAAGAAAAGGGAAAAAAGAGAAGUCAUCUCUUUAGAUAUUUUGAAUUAUCUAAUUCAAAUAUUUCACAACGUCCAACACAAACUUUCAAACGUAAAACGAAAUUGGUG
Molecule: long non-coding RNA, 580 nt
Filed under: Olea europaea (common olive)
Lineage: Eukaryota; Viridiplantae; Streptophyta; Magnoliopsida; Lamiales; Oleaceae
Description: long non-coding RNA (OEUR_LNC002413)
Source: RNAcentral